AGAAUGAACGCUAGCGAUAUGCUUAACACAUGCAAGUUGAACGUUGUUUUCGAAUCAGAAUGAGAACAAAGUAGCGAACGGGUGCGUAACACGUGGGAAUCUGCCGAACAGUUUGGGCCAAAUCCCGAAUGAAUAAAAGCUAAAAAGCGCUGUUUGAUGAGCCCACGUAGUAUUAGGUAGUUGGUUAGGUAAAAGCUGACCAAGCCUACGAUGCUUAGCUGGUCUUUUCGGAUGAUCAGCCACACUGGGACUGAGACACGGCCCAGACUCCUACGGGAGGCAGCAGUGGGGAAUCUUGGACAAUGGGCGAAAGCCUGAUCCGGCAAUAUGGCGUGAGUGAAGAAGGCAACGCAGCUUGUAAAGCUCUUUCAUCGAGUGUGCGAUUGUGACAAGACUCGAAUAAGAACGCCCCGGCUAACUCCGCGCCAGCAGCCGC
This 436-nucleotide ribosomal RNA is filed under the name uncultured bacterium. RNAcentral's name for it is "SSU rRNA". It matches the Rfam family "Bacterial small subunit ribosomal RNA", at positions 26 to 518 of the family's 1533-position model. The record is from RNAcentral.